CAGAUAUAGAGGAAACAGGAAAACGUUUAUUCAGAAGCAUUAAGAUGACUAGGGAGGCUUGCAAUAUUUUCAGGGCCUCACAUCCACAAUGGCAGGUGGUAUGAAUCCAAAUGCUGCACAAUCACCAAGAGGAGGUGAUGGAGAUGCUCCGCCUCCUGGCCUGGAUACUGGAAAUAUGAAUGUAUUGUAUGAAGCUGGGCAGUACUUAGCUGCUCAGUUGCAAGCUGCAAAUCCAGACCUUGUAGAGUCAAAAUACUUCUAGGAAUAAUCCCG
Long non-coding RNA from Uloborus diversus, 273 nucleotides. RefSeq lists it as uncharacterized. NCBI's taxonomy places the organism in Eukaryota, Metazoa, Arthropoda, Arachnida, Araneae, Uloboridae. The transcript has 3 exons. The record is from RefSeq and is a predicted model, not a curated record.